UACGAAGGGGGCUAGCGUUGCUCGGAAUCACUGGGCGUAAAGCGCACGUAGGCGGAUUGUUAAGUCAGGGGUGAAAUCCUGGAGCUCAACUCCAGAACUGCCUUUGAUACUGGCGAUCUUGAGUCCGGGAGAGGUGAGUGGAACUGCGAGUGUAGGGGUGAAAUUCGUAGAUAUUCGCAAGAACACCAGUGGCGAAGGCGGCUCACUGGCCCGGUACUGACGCUGAGGCACGAAAGCGUGGGGAGCAAACAGG
Molecule: ribosomal RNA, 253 nt
Filed under: uncultured bacterium
Lineage: Bacteria
Description: partial 16S ribosomal RNA
Rfam family: Bacterial small subunit ribosomal RNA
Source: RNAcentral